RNAcentral lists this unclassified non-coding RNA (339 nucleotides) under soil metagenome. Its description in RNAcentral is "partial contains 5.8S ribosomal RNA, internal transcribed spacer 2, and large subunit ribosomal RNA". The stretch from base 1 to 120 matches the Rfam family "5.8S ribosomal RNA", at positions 35 to 154 of the family's 154-position model. The record is from RNAcentral.
GAUGAAGAACGUAGCGAAAUGCGAUAACUAAUGUGAAUUGCAGAAUUCAGUGAAUCAUCGAGUCUUUGAACGCACAUUGCGCCCCCUGGUAUUCCGGGGGGCAUGCCUGUCCGAGCGUCAUUGCUGCCCUCAAGCACGGCUUGUGUGUAGGGCUCCGUCCCCCCGGGGACGGGCCCGAAAGGCAGCGGCGGCACCGAGUCCGGUCCUCGAGCGUAUGGGGCUUUGUCACCCGCUCUGUAGGCCCGGCCGGCGCCAGCCGACAACCCAUCAUCCUUUUCAGGUUGACCUCGGAUCAGGUAGGGAUACCCGCUGAACUUAAGCAUAUCAAUAAGCGGAGGA